GUCGGUGUAACCAAGAGGUUAAGGUAGUAGUUUGUGGAUCUACGAUUCGCGAGUUCGAUUCUCGUCACCGACC
Molecule: transfer RNA, 73 nt
Filed under: Poterioochromonas malhamensis
Lineage: Eukaryota; Synurophyceae; Ochromonadales; Ochromonadaceae
Description: tRNA-His
Rfam family: tRNA
About the family: Transfer RNA (tRNA) molecules are approximately 80 nucleotides in length. Their secondary structure includes four short double-helical elements and three loops (D, anti-codon, and T loops). Further hydrogen bonds mediate the characteristic L-shaped molecular structure. tRNAs have two regions of fundamental functional importance: the anti-codon, which is responsible for specific mRNA codon recognition, and the 3' end, to which the tRNAs corresponding amino acid is attached (by aminoacyl-tRNA synthetases). tRNAs cope with the degeneracy of the genetic code in two manners: having more than one tRNA (with a specific anti-codon) for a particular amino acid; and 'wobble' base-pairing, i.e. permitting non-standard base-pairing at the 3rd anti-codon position.
Source: RNAcentral